UCUAAAAGUAGUACUGACUUCUAUUAAUGUCUUCCCUUGGAAUUAAGCGUGCCUUUGGAUGUAGAUUUGGAGGAUGAACCCGUGUUUGAAUUGCAAGAGAAAGAAUGAUUGAUGCACGCUUAUAGGGCCGUUGUAGCUCAGGUGGAGCAGCUGUUGGAAUUUGGGAAGCUUCUUGGGGCUUCUUACGGAGCGGAGCAAGAGCCCCAGUUACGAGAUUGGUUUAAUUCCUCACUUGUCAACGAAGUGAAGGCUCAUACCCCUCGGAACGAUAUGUGCUUGGAGGUGGAAAAAGCGGUGGAGACAGAAAGUUCCUGGUCAGAUGUUUCAGCAACCUCUACUUCGGGCACUCGCAGCACCAGGAAAAGGGGUAAUAGAGGCAGAGGAAGAAACAGUGUGGCCCGUUAAUUUGCGGGCCAGGUUCUUUCUAGUUUUUUGGGGUGUUUUUAAGGUCCGUUUGGUUUGAGGUAAUAGGAGUCUGGAAUCGGAAUUGGAAUGGCCCAUUUCCAUUUCAAGUGCUUGGUUGAUCGGAAUGGAAAUCCCAUUCCCAUUCUAUGGGGGAAUGGCCAUUCCUGACCCUCCCCAGGGAAUGUGAUUCCCAUUCCGGUUUAUGGUUUUUUAAUUUUUUGGACAAAAAUGCCUUCCUCAUUUUCAAUCCAGUCGAAGAGACGAAACAGGAGAUUGGAGUUUCCCCAUUUUCAAUCCAGUUGAAGAGACAAAACAGAGAUUGCGAGAACUCCAAGCCUUCUUCCAUCGCCGAACAGAGAGCUGAACCAACCUCUGGCGAGGUAAAACAACUGCUGAACCAUUCUCCACCACCACCACCACCUCCUCCUCCUCCUCCUUCGAAAUUAACCGCAUGCUCUGAUUGAACCAACCUCCGGCGAGAGUCUUCAUCUAGAGCACCGAUCGCUGCAGUAGUUCAAAGGGAGAGAGAGAGAGAGAUUAAGGGCGAGUGAUUCAAAAUCAAAGCUCGUCUCAAAUCUUCCCCUACAACAUCCAUCGAUUCCAAGCCAAUAUUCUAACAGGUGUGCCGGCAUGACAUGGCAUGACGGCAUGGGGGUGUGCCAGAUCCUGCAUGAGGUCCAUGGGCUGGCACGACACUAUGUGUGCCACGCCGCUUGUGGCCCACGUGCCAGCAUGGCCCAACCUGCGGCAUGACACGCACUGUGGGCUAGCACUACACGACCCACCUGACGAACUAGCUAAUUUCAACAUUUUGGGGUUUUUUUAUAGA
Nelumbo nucifera (sacred lotus) is the source of this 1234-nucleotide long non-coding RNA. RefSeq lists it as uncharacterized. NCBI's taxonomy places the organism in Eukaryota, Viridiplantae, Streptophyta, Magnoliopsida, Proteales, Nelumbonaceae. The record is from RefSeq and is a predicted model, not a curated record.